RNA transcript from Daktulosphaira vitifoliae (grape phylloxera), 2313 nucleotides. RefSeq lists it as uncharacterized. The record is from RefSeq and is a predicted model, not a curated record. The transcript is spliced from 3 exons. NCBI's taxonomy places the organism in Eukaryota, Metazoa, Arthropoda, Insecta, Hemiptera, Phylloxeridae.
UGUGUUAUCAAUUAAUAGUGCCGUUAAACAAAUUUUUCGUUACUACUUAAUAACGAUUGAGAAAUAUUACUAAUAUAAAGUAAUACGAAAAUAGGAUAUAGAGUAAUAUUAUUCAUUUACUCUAUGAAAAUAACAUUAUCAAUACUUUUCUGCACAUGUUCCCCAGAUUUAAUUUUCUGUUAAUUUAAAUUUUUUGAGAAGAAGGCAAGAACUGUUCAUGCACUCAGACCGAUGGGUCCAUUAUGCGCUUCUCUGUUCAUACUAAACAGGUACUACAUAGAAGUAUUGUAACCACAGAUAUAUAUUAUAUAUUAUAAUACAUUUGUGAUUAAAUUAUCCUGCUAUAAAUAUUGACUAUAUAGUUCUAUUUUCUUUACAAUGUUAUUUUGGAUUCCUGCUUGCAUGUUUGUUUAUGUCAAGGUGUAAUGAAUGUUGCCGAAUAUUCACUUUUCUACAAAAUUUUUGUAUUAAAACCAUAUCAUACUACCCGUUCCCGCCAAACAUGUUGUGACUAGUCUAUUAUAUUUUAGUUUGUGGUAUGGAUUAUUCACAAACAAUGAACAUAUUCACAUGUAAUUUGUGAAAACGAGUAUAAAGAGCGAGCGCUAUCUACGUUACAAAUUGUUUACUAUAAUUAAUAGAAUAUAAAAUUGGAUUUUCUAAAAGGUCAGUGUGAACCUGAGUGCGAUAUUUUUUUUUUAUAGAAAUUCCAAAAAAAGGUGAAAUACUCGGCAAAAAUUGAGCUCGAACGACAAUCAUGUUUUUAUAGAUACAUAUAAGUAUUAAGCAUGUUUAAUGAAUACAUUUAUGAGAUAAUUGCUUGUUUAAAAAAAAAAAAUUAAUUUUUAUUUGUUAUAUUUCAGUCGUAAUAAUAUCAUUACCUACAAUAAAAUGGCUUUUAAAAACGCCAACGCCGUUCAUGUGCAUACUGCAAGCGUUUUGACGCGUUUUUACAUAGAAAAUUAGCCCGCCAAAAGCUACAGUAUAAUCAUAACAGUUUCGAAAUUCCUCGUGGAUUUGCUCUGAUUAUUUUUUUAUUUUUUAAAGUAAAAAAUAAGUUAAAAUAAGUAUGGAGACAUUAGAUGAUGUAGAAGUUGCAUGCGUUGUAUACGCCAUGUAUCUUCGUUGUACAAAAAAACAUAAAAUAAAAAAAACAAGUCUUCGUAGACAUUGAGUUCACCCCCUAAAUUUAAAAAGACCUCGAGAUGGUCAAUUUCGAGUUAAUUUUUUAACUUUGAGGAGUUAUCCCGAAGAAUUCUUUAGGUACUACCGUAUGUCUAUACGCUCGUUUGAUGAAUUGUUGGAUCAAAACUUCAAAAAGAGGAUACUUGUUUACGAUUAUCAAUACCACCAGAAGAGCGACAUACAGUUACAUUGAGAUAUUUAGCAACGGGAACAAACUUUUCAGCUCUUCAUUUUGAUUUUUUAAUGGGUCUUUCAACCAUAAGAAACAUUAUACGAGAGACUUGUGAGAUACUUUGGUCAGAGUUACAACCUGUAGAAAUGACUGUAACGAGCAUCGAAGAUUGGCUAAUCAUCGCUGAUGGUUUUUAUAAAAAAACACAAUUUUCUAAUUGCGUUGGUGCAGUAGAUGAAAAACAUGUUCGGAUUGAAUGCCCCAAAAAGAGUGGAACCCUAUACUUUAAUUACAAACAUUUUUAUUCUAUUGUACUUCUUACUGUUUGUGACGCCAACUAUUGUUUCCGAAUUAUUGACGUAUGAUCUUUUGGAAAAGUUAGCGACUGUAAUAUCUUUAAAAAUUCAGCAUUCAGUAAAAAGCUCUAUGCGAAUCAAAUCAAUUUCCCAUCUGAAAAUGUAUUACCCGAAAACAAAAAAGGAACACCCCAACCCUACGUAAUUGUUGGAGAUGAAGCUUUUCGCUUUAAACAAACAUUUGUUGAGGCCUUUUCCAGGAAAAUCGUUAAAUAACGAAAAGAGGAUUUUUAAUUAUCGUUUAUCAAGAGCUCAGCAAAAUAUUGAGUGCUCGUUUGGAAUCUUUUCAAACAAAUGGAAGAUAUUCCAUACCUCUAUAUUGGCUUCUCCGGAUUUUGCAAUAAAAAUAAGAAAGGCAGCAUGUGUUCUACAUAAUUUUGUGCGACGCAGAGAUGGAUAUAAUUCCGAAGAUACCCUUAACUGUAAAAUGGAAAAUUUAAUGAAAAAAAAGUGUUGGAAACGCGCCAUCAGAAGCAAAAGAACUUAGAGAAUAUUAUGUGUGAUACGUCAACUCAGUGGAACAUUCUUUAAGUUGGCAAAAUAAAGUUAUAGGUUAAGUAUAUCUAUAUAAUUUUUAUACUAUAGCGAUUUUCACCAAAU